Molecule: non-coding RNA, 73 nt
Organism: Ameiurus melas (black bullhead)
Lineage: Eukaryota; Metazoa; Chordata; Actinopteri; Siluriformes; Ictaluridae
Source: the annotation of a GenBank genome assembly
GCCCAGCUAGCUCAGUCAGUAGAACAUGAGACUCUUAAUCUCAGGAUGGUGGGUUUGAGCCCCACGCUGGGCA